RNAcentral lists this transfer RNA (74 nucleotides) under Marmota monax (woodchuck). RNAcentral's name for it is "tRNA.Ala". The record is from RNAcentral. Lineage: Eukaryota; Metazoa; Chordata; Mammalia; Rodentia; Sciuridae.
GCUGUGGAUGUGGCUCCGCGGUAGAGCGCUUGCCUAGCCCACGUGAGGCCCUGGGUUCCAUCCCCAGCACGGCA